RNAcentral lists this long non-coding RNA (628 nucleotides) under Volvox carteri. RNAcentral's name for it is "long non-coding RNA (VCAR_LNC000931)". Lineage: Eukaryota; Viridiplantae; Chlorophyta; Chlorophyceae; Chlamydomonadales; Volvocaceae. The record is from RNAcentral.
AAGAGGGUGUGUGUGGAGGGGGUGGGGACCACCGAAUGACAAUGCAACGAGAAACAAGUGCAUUGGUCGACCAGGGUUGCAUCUGUUCGUCCGUAUAUCCGUCCAAAAUAGCAGGAGGAGGCGGGGUCUCCUUUUUCUUCCCCCCUCGCAAACACCAUGCCGCGUAGAUCCGGUCAGAGCUGUUGUGAGAACAGGUCACUCUCUCAGUCUUUCAUGUGUGUGUGUGUGUGUGUGUGUGAGUGUGUGUGUGUUUGAAGGGGGGGAGUGUCGUUAAAGUGUCGAAACGUAAAGCGGGAGAAAUGCAUGUGGAUGUGCUGAACAAGUUUGCGGAGAGGCGAGAGACGGACGACUAUGCGACUAUGCAACAUCCUGAUUCAUGCAUAUGUAAAUACGUACGCAUGCAUACGUCAUGCAUGUGUACGAACAUGCACACAGGGACUCACAGGGACGCACACAGCCCCAGUUCCCAGUCCUCGCUCUGGGGCCGUUUUAUUAGAUAUAUCUUUCUCCUCCGUUCUACCCUUCUUUCCGUCCAAGGUAAUCGGCCCUCAACUCCUGUUGCUUAACUCCACUGCCCAACCCACUUAUGACGUGUUUCAUCGUAGUUCGAGCCCGGGUUACCCAGCCC